CACCAAGAGAAGAGCACAGAGUUCUUGAGGCUUAGAAAACAUUGCCAUAUGAUCUGCAUCUUUGAUCUCCAUCACUUCUUUUACAGGAAAAUUGCUGAUCAUCCAACGCUGGUAAUCCUCAGGUAUUGCAAGGUCCUCUCCGCAUACGAUAUAAAUACGUGUAACAGAUCCGUACCCAUCCUCGCUAAAGUUUCUUGUCCCUGCUAGAUUGUCUGUAACUAUGGGGUUUACCCUCACCAACAUUUUCGCCAAUUCAAGAUCCUAACACGCCACAACAACAAUCAACAAAAAGAUUUACCUUUGAAAGUAGAGAUUAUUAUUAAG
RNAcentral lists this long non-coding RNA (324 nucleotides) under Brassica napus (rape). RNAcentral's name for it is "long non-coding RNA (BNAP_LNC016226)". Lineage: Eukaryota; Viridiplantae; Streptophyta; Magnoliopsida; Brassicales; Brassicaceae. The record is from RNAcentral.